This 368-nucleotide long non-coding RNA is filed under the name Macaca mulatta (Rhesus monkey). RNAcentral describes it as "lncRNA (ENSMMUG00000043522.2)". Lineage: Eukaryota; Metazoa; Chordata; Mammalia; Primates; Cercopithecidae. The record is from RNAcentral.
AAUUUGUUUAUUAUAUGCUAAUAUUUUUCAUUCCCUGCUAAUAUUUUUCACUUGUCUUCUACUCUUAGCCCCCAUUCACUGGGGAGAAUAGAAAGAAAACAACUGACAGCAUCCUCAAAUGUAAACUCAAUUUGCUCAAUUUGCCUCCCUACCUCACACAAGAAGCCAGAGAUCUGCUUAAAAAGGCUCAUCCAUUCUUUAGACACAUUAACUGGGAAGAACUUCUGGCUGGAAAGGUGGAGCCCCCCCCCACUUUAAACCUCUGUUGCAAUCUGAAGAGGAUGUGAGUCAGUUUGAUUCCAAGUCUACACAUCAGACACCUGUCGACAGCCCAGAUGACUCAACUCUCAGUGAAAGUGCCAGUCAGG